AACGCGAAGAACCUUACCUGGGCUCGAACGGCUUCUCAACGGUCGUGGAAACAUGGCUAUCCCGCAAGGGACCGGAGUCGAGGUGCUGCAUGGCUGUCGUCAGCUCGUGUCGUGAGAUGUUGGGUUAAGUCCCGCAACGAGCGCAACCCUUGUCCUGUGUUGCCACUCCGUAAGGAAGCACUCUCAGGAGACCGCCAGCGAUAAGUUGGAGGAAGGUGGGGAUGAUGUCAAGUCAUCAUGGCCUUUAUGUCCAGGGCUACACACGUGCUACAAUGGUCGGUACAAAGCGCUGCAAACCCGCGAGGGGGAGCUAAUCGCAAAAAGCCGGCCUCAGUUCGGAUUGCAGGCUGCAACUCGCCUGCAUGAAGCUGGAAUCGCUAGUAAUGCCGUAUCAGAAUGAUGGCGUGAAUACGUUCCCGGGCCUUGUACACACGGUACUA
RNAcentral lists this ribosomal RNA (440 nucleotides) under uncultured bacterium. Its description in RNAcentral is "bacterial SSU rRNA". It matches the Rfam family "Bacterial small subunit ribosomal RNA", at positions 958 to 1397 of the family's 1533-position model. The record is from RNAcentral.